CAUUCCUCCUGCAGCAGAUGGGGGACAAAGACAGACAACCACAGCCCAACCCUGUGCAGAAACGCCUGCCCCUGGCUCAGCGCCCAGUGCCAACAGAACACCUUCAGGAUUCACAGCAACGCAGAAACCAUGUCCAGGACCCCGGCCUCUGCUUGGAACGGAAUGGUGUCAUGGCGGAGACAACGG
Molecule: long non-coding RNA, 186 nt
Organism: Mus caroli (Ryukyu mouse)
Lineage: Eukaryota; Metazoa; Chordata; Mammalia; Rodentia; Muridae
Source: RefSeq, a predicted model, not a curated record